CCCAGCCCACCGGGUGUUUUUGCCUCCCUGCCUGUCCUGCUUAGCAGCCAACUUGUCCUGGGCCACAGUGCACAUGUGUGGAAUGUGCACCAACUCUCCGACUCUGCUCCUUCUCUCUGUCUCUUCCCACCCCUCCUUCUCUCUGUCUCUUCCCGCCAGGUGUUUUUGCCAUCCUGCUUAGGAGCCCACUCGUCCUGGCCCGCAGUGCACAUGUGUGGAAUGUGCCCCCCACUCUCUGACUCCCCUCCUUCUCUUUGUCUCUCGACUCCUCCUCUCAGUCUCUGGUGUAAUCGGAGGAGUCAUCAGGUUGCCUGUGCAGAGCCUGUUGCUGCCUAAGGACUGAGAUUACAGCUUUUCUGCUUUCAAAAAACAAAGAAGUACCAGAGCUCAAUGAUGCAGAAGGAAAUGGCACCUUGCCUUUCUGACAGAUGUAACAGAGCUACUCAACAGUUUCAAUGUGCAACUUCAAGGAAAGGGGAAGCUCAUCUGUGAUAUGCAAUCACAUGUGAAAGCAUUUGAAGUAAAAUUAGCCUCCUCAUCAAACAAGUGAAAGAGGAAAAUUUCUGCCAUUUCCUCACAACUCAAAAUCCGUUAGCCGAAAAUCCAUUGAUUGCAUUCCCAAAUAAAAUGUGUGGAUUCACUGGAAAAGUUGCAAAAGGAGUUCCAAUUUAGAUUUAAAGAGCUUCAUCUCCAUGAACAGGACAUGCAGCUUUUCUGCAACCCAUUUUCUAUUGACUUUGAAAAUGUGGAUAUGAUUUACCAAAUGGAACUGGCUGAACUGCAGUAUUGUGACUCUCUGAAAGAAGCAUUCAAGUCAAGCAGCCUUCCUAAUUUCUAUGCAUCUCUCCCCUCUCAGACACAUCCUAAUCUCAGGAACCAUGCACUCAAAAUGACAACCAUCUUUGGCAACACUUAUGUCUGUGAACAGACUUUUUCCAGAAUGAAACAUCUGAAAUCUCCAACCAGAUCUAGACUAACUGAUACACACUUGCAUCACUUGUUACAACUAUCAGUGACAAAUAUGGGACCGGACAUUGACCAUCUCAUUAGCCAAAAGCAGGCCCAUAGUUCCUAUUGAAAUACUGGGUGCACACCCACCCCACUGAAGUUGGCAUUCCAGGACCGUCCUGGAUGGCCCCUGCGGCAUCUGCGACCGGACCAUCCCUGGGACUAUGGAUGCAUGCAACUGGCUGCAACCCCUAGUCCUGGCUGGAGCAUGAGGAGGAGGGUAUUGUGUUGUCAAACCAGAGAUGAUAUUUGUCCUAGAGCAAGAAUAGGAGCCACAAAUACCGGAGGAAGAGUCUCUAACCCAGAGCCAUCCAGGAGGAGAAGGAAGUACUCUUCAGGGCCAAUGCUAGGAAGAAGGACUCUGCCGUUCAGGAGUGUAUUGUUUGUCAGGAAUGUCAACACCAAAGCCUCCUUACAUGUCAGUUUUGAUGCCAUCUUCAUGGAGACUGCAAAAGUUGUGAACGUGUGCACGAAGUUGCCUGGAAUAGAUACAAAGUCGAUCCUGAGACUUCCAAAUCCUCUUCUGGCUUCCCUGGCUCAGAAACACUGUGAACCAUGGAUCUCCUUGUAAACUCUUUGCAUGCUUGUGUGAAUGGAGAACAUUGACACAAGAAUCGUGCCUCCAGUAUUAACUCAGGCAGCAGAAGCCCUGCAGGAUAUACCCGUCUUAUAAAAUAGAUCACUUAGACUUCAGACAAGUGGAGAGGCAGAUGCAACUGGAAGAAUAGGUUUGGAAGAGCUACUUCAAUGUGCAGCUGGUCCAAUGGAGCUUCAUGAAGAGCCAACCUUUAUGAGCAAGUCAGGGGAAAUUGUGAAAUUAUAAAUGAAUUAGUUGCUGCCUCUCCCCCAAAAAGGCCAGAUGAAGAAGAAAAGGCUGAGUGACCUGGGGAUCACACAGGCUGAUGACAACCUCAUGUCACAGGAGAUGUUUGUCAGAACUAUGGGGAAUCAGUUCAAGUGGAGUGGGAAAGGGAAGUUUUGGGACAUUUCUUUUCUGAUCACAAUGAUGUAAAUAGACAGCAAAAUAUUGGGUUUUGCACAUGCUGCCUUGGGACUCAUUGCUGCCAGUGUAGUCUGCUUCAUGUACUUGAUUGGGCUUGAGUGAAACGUAGACUUAUUGCUAUUUGCAGGUGUUGUACACAAAGCACUCCUUCUUUGUAAGAAAGAUCAUAAAAAUACAUAAGAUAGAAAAUGUUUGGAGAUUUCUUAUCUGAAAGCCUUGCUUUCUUAAACACAGUUCUGUCAUAUUACACCUGUUAGUAACUUUCUAGUGUAAUUACAUUUCAGCACACUCAGGAGGAGGCGAGGCAGAGAAUGUAGGUUAAUGUGUACAAAUGCAGCAGGCGUUACACGUGCAGUGUUCUUUUUAGAGUUGUCUGUUCAUCCUGAUUACAGAAGGUCUGGUUUCCGUGCUUAUUUGCACAAUACUUAAGUUUUGUGAUUGGGAAGUUAUCUGCCUCAUCAGACUUACUAUUAUUUAUCUAUUUAUUUUAUUAAAUCAUAGCUGUGUACAUUAAUGCGAUCAUGGGGCAUCAUACACUGGUUUUAUAGACCGUUUGACACAUUUUCACCACACUGGUUAACAUAGCCUUCUCUGGCAUUUUCUUAGAUAUUGUGUUAAGACAUUUACAUUCUACAUUUACUAAGUUUCAUGUAUACCCUUGUAAGAUGCACCGCAGGUGUAA
Molecule: long non-coding RNA, 2693 nt
Organism: Nycticebus coucang (slow loris)
Lineage: Eukaryota; Metazoa; Chordata; Mammalia; Primates; Lorisidae
Exons: 8
Source: RefSeq, a predicted model, not a curated record